Molecule: unclassified non-coding RNA, 497 nt
Filed under: Hevea brasiliensis (rubber tree)
Lineage: Eukaryota; Viridiplantae; Streptophyta; Magnoliopsida; Malpighiales; Euphorbiaceae
Source: RNAcentral
GUAACAUACGCUUCCUCUAGAGCUCCUGAUGACCUUGAUACCAGGCUUCUUCGUGCCAUGAUAACCAAAGGUCUCAUUGAGCCCAUUUCCAGUGUUUUCGUGAACUUGGUGAAUGCUGAUUUCACUGCCAAACAGAGAGGACUAAGGAUAACUGAGGAGCGAGUCAUCAUUGAUGGGUCGCCUGAGAAACCAUUAGAAUACAUUCAGGUCCAGAUUGCCAACGUGGAAUCCAAAUUUGCCAGUGCUAUAUCAGAUUCCGGGGAGAUAAAGGUGGAAGGACUUGUGAAAGAUGGAAUCCCUCACCUCACGAAGGUCGGGUCCUUUGAAGUUGAUGUUAGUUUGGAGGGUAGCAUCAUACUUUGCAGGCAGGUUGACCAGCCAGGUAUGAUUGGAAAGGUUGGAAGCAUUCUUGGAGAAGAAAAUGUUAAUGUGAGUUUCAUGAGUGUUGGGAGGAUUGCUCCUCGAAAGCAAGCUGUUAUGGCCAUUGGUGUUGAUGA